CCGAGCCUUCAGCCCUCCCUGGCACUUCAGUGUCGAGCUCAACUAACAGGUGCUGGGGGCGGUGGAGUUAGGACUUCAACGUGUGAAUUUUGUGGGACACAACGCAUCCCCUGGCAGCAAAGACCACAGCCAACGUCAUACCAUAGCGACUUAGGUGAGUGCCUUGUUGCUUCACGAGGCGAGCAGAGACUGCGUCCAAUUCAGCCCUGUGUCCAGCUCAGCACUUUUAAGGGGACGCGCCCACUUCUGGGCAAGUCCAGACCUUAAAGCCGAGGUAGCCAAGUGGUCACCCUGUGUAGGGGGAAGAUGAGUGCCAUCUUUUUGCUCCUUCGUGUCAUGAAACAGAGGAGCACAGCCAGUGUCUCUGCCUCAGCCAGAGGGGGAUCUCAGGAAGCUUGAGGAGCUGGGGGGGGCGCUUUGGGUGAGGUCUAGGGUCAGCG
RNAcentral lists this long non-coding RNA (440 nucleotides) under Felis catus (domestic cat). RNAcentral's name for it is "lncRNA (ENSFCAG00000047165.1)". Lineage: Eukaryota; Metazoa; Chordata; Mammalia; Carnivora; Felidae. The record is from RNAcentral.